UGGGGAAUAUUGCACAAUGGGGGAAACCCUGAUGCAGCGACGCCGCGUGAAGGAUGAAGUAUUUCGGUAUGUAAACUUCUAUCAGCAGGGAAGAAAAUGACGGUACCUGACUAAGAAGCCCCGGCUAACUACGUGCCAGCAGCCGCGGUAAUACGUAGGGGGCAAGCGUUAUCCGGAUUUACUGGGUGUAAAGGGAGCGUAGACGGCAGUGCAAGUCUGAAGUGAAAGCCCGGGGCUCAACCCCGGGACUGCUUUGGAAACUGUGCAGCUAGAGUGUCGGAGAGGCAAGCGGAAUUCCUAGUGUAGCGGUGAAAUGCGUAGAUAUUAGGAGGAACACCAGUGGCGAAGGCGGCUUGCUGGACGAUGACUGACGUUGAGGCUCGAAAGCGUGGGGAGCAAACAG
This 403-nucleotide ribosomal RNA is filed under the name uncultured bacterium. RNAcentral's name for it is "bacterial SSU rRNA". It matches the Rfam family "Bacterial small subunit ribosomal RNA", at positions 355 to 775 of the family's 1533-position model. The record is from RNAcentral.